AUAGAUUAAGGACAGCGUUCAAGAAGUUAUAUUUUUCUCUUAAAGAUGUUAUAGGAUUUUGUUGUCACAAGAGAUUAUUGGCCAAACUUUUUUAAGAUGGUUUAGAAGUAAAUAAUAUAAUUUAGUCCAUCGAACAGUUAAUAAAAUUUUAUUCUUUAUACAGUUGGAAGUUGAUAUUUUUCCUAAAUCAAAUUCUUUAAGUUUAAUUUUUUGAGACGAUUUGCUCUUAGAUCUUAAGGAUGGUUGAUUCGAUU
This 254-nucleotide long non-coding RNA is filed under the name Elaeis guineensis (African oil palm). RNAcentral's name for it is "long non-coding RNA (EGUI_LNC023114)". The record is from RNAcentral. Lineage: Eukaryota; Viridiplantae; Streptophyta; Magnoliopsida; Arecales; Arecaceae.